RNAcentral lists this microRNA precursor (103 nucleotides) under Marmota monax (woodchuck). The record is from RNAcentral. Lineage: Eukaryota; Metazoa; Chordata; Mammalia; Rodentia; Sciuridae.
AGAGGAAUAGCUGGAUCAAAUGGUGGUUCCAUUCCCAGAUUUCCAAGGAAUCUCCAUACUGCUUUCCAAAUUGGCUGCACCAAUUUGCAGUCCCACCAGCAAU